Molecule: long non-coding RNA, 2347 nt
Organism: Astatotilapia calliptera (eastern happy)
Lineage: Eukaryota; Metazoa; Chordata; Actinopteri; Cichliformes; Cichlidae
Source: Ensembl
GUCGAUAAUACCCACAGUAGAGUCAGAUGAAUGAUAAUAAUAAUUUGUGCAAUGUUAAUUCCCUUUGAAGAUGAAACAACGAACAGGCAACACCCACCCGCGAGUCUAUAAAUAAUAUAAACACGCCGUCGACUCACAUAACCUUCAGACGGAGAACCUGAAAGGAUCGCAGCCUCACUUUCUAAACAAAGCAAUGGCGCCAGGCGAUGUUAUGAACCCCCACUACGGGUGGGGGUUGAAGAAAAAUCCCCACCUGCUGAAAGAAUACACUGAGAAAUAUGUAGGAAAGUCACUGCACCACCCCUCUGCAUUGCUGUCCACUGCCAAGCAUGGCUCAGCUGAGCAGGUGGUGAGGAAGGUGCUCCUAACCAAGGCAAUGUGUGAAAUCUUCGUUAUCUUGGCUAAUGGUCAAAGGUGUCAGAUGCUCCUAAGCGCCAUGCAGCUGCAAGUAAUGAUUGUGAGCAUUUUCAAAGAGGAAGUGCUGAAAAUGCUCAUCAAAAAAGGAUACAAUAAGGAUAAUAUCAGGCUGGUGGCUGAUGACAAGCCACUGGAUGAUGACUCUGCACCAGUGAAAAAAUACGGGAUCAAAGCCGGCUCAACUGUACAGAUGACAGACAACCUGGAAAGAUCACAUGUUCCCCGCCUAAACAAGGAAAAUUGUAAACUCGGCAUUAUCUUGCCUGAUGGUCGGAGGGUGUCGAUGAUGCUGUGCCCCGGACAACUGCAGAGUAUGACUGUAAGCCAGUUCAAAGAGGACAUACUGAGAGUGUGGGCCAUCCAUGGAUACACUGAGAAACAUGUCACUCUGCAAGUUGAAGGCAAGACACUGGACAACCCCUCUGCAUUGCUGGCUGAUUGCGGAAUCAAAGCCGGCUCAAUUGUGCAGAUGUUUUUAGAAGUCUUCAUUAUCUUGCCUGAUGGUCGGAGGCACGUGAUGCCUCUGAGCGCUAAACAGCUGCAAGAAAUGACUGUGAGCCUUCUCGAAGAGGAAGUGCUAAAAAUGCUCAUGAUGAAAACUGUUGUAGGAUACACUAAGGAUGUUUUGAAGCUGCACAUUGAUGGCAUGCCACUGGACAACGGCUUUGUACUAAAAAUCAAAGCCGGCAAAAAAGUGCAGGCGGUGAUUAUGGUUCACGGAGGAUGAAGGAGUCCAUCAUGAAUUCAUGUGACUACAUCAAAUUUACAGGAUAUACCGAACCAUAAAUACAUGUAAAGAACAAAACAAAAAAUUCUGAUUGAAGUAUUGCAUCUAUGGCUUUCCUUCUCCUUUGUACUUUCUUCACAUUUUACGCCUCCUAUCAUACCUAUAGUCAGCACUAAUUCAGUAUUACAUAUUAAUAAUGAUUAAUUGAGGUGCAAAAGUUUUGUUUUAUUUUAUUACCAAGUUUCUGGGGCUUCUGUUUUCGCAGUCAGAGGUGUGUGCCUGAGAUGACAAUAUUAGCUCAUAUUAUUAUUGUUACAGGAAGAAAUUAGAAUAAAUGUAACGAUACACAGACGAACCUCCACAAAGUAAAUACUGAAACAAACGAACACAUUGAUUGUCAAUUUCCUAUGUGAUACAUUAUCUUUUUACAAUGUACAUGAAUAAAUGCACAUCACCAAAUGUUAUUGGUUGGCUCACUGAUGUCUGUAUGUAAACAUUGUGAUUCACAAAUGAUCCUAGAUUAUAUUUUAAAACGUAAUUGUUCAUUUUCUGUGACAUGUUUUGUUCAGUUAACAAUCACAACAAUUAAGUAAAUCUUUUUCAGAAUAUGUUUAAUGACUCAAAGCUAAAUGUGGAAGAAAUAAAUAGGAAUCUGGCUUCCUCGUGGUUUGCAUCAUUUAACUUUGAUAAAAUAGAAGACUGUCUCGGAGAAAUCAGACUGUCAAUGAAAAAAUUAAAUGCAAAACGUUCCAUUAUGUAACCUCAAAGAAACGUUCUCUGAGGAAAUUUCCACCUUAUCCUGAUUAUUAUAUUAGUUUAGCUGUUUCUGUAAAUACUUUAAAAUCAACAUUGGGACAACUAAACCACAUUUUCCAAUAACAAAUUUAAAGAAGAGAUCAUAUUUUACAUGAUGAUUUUUACUUAUCUGCAUGGGCUCUAAGUAACGUCAUGGCAGGAAGAAAGAAAAAUCUACAAGCUUAUAUCAAAUGAGGUGUUGCUAACUUGUUCAAAUCCUGGCGUUGGAGCUUGGACAAUUCAGGCCAAUAUUUUACUCAAAUACAUCAGGCCACAUUUAAGUAUUUUGUUAUGAUCUUUAAUUUGAGUUUCUAGUUAUAAUCUUAAUUAUUUUUACCCUUUGCUCUUUUCACCACACCAAACCAAUAAAGGACCAAACUGCCUGUCCAUUUCUUGCUCCACUCUCCC